CCUACGGGAGGCAGCAGUGGGGAAUAUUGGACAAUGGGGGCAACCCUGAUCCAGCCAUGCCGCGUGUGUGAAGAAGGCCCUCGGGUUGUAAAGCACUUUCAGUGAGGAAGAACGCCUGGUGGUUAAUACCCAUCAGGAAAGACAUCACUCACAGAAGAAGCACCGGCUAACUCCGUGCCAGCAGCCGCGGUAAUACGGAGGGUGCCAGCGUUAAUCGGAAUUACUGGGCGUAAAGCGCGCGUAGGUGGCUUGAUAAGCCGGUUGUGAAAGCCCCGGGCUCAACCUGGGAACGGCAUCCGGAACUGUCAAGCUAGAGUGCAGGAGAGGAAGGUAGAAUUCCCGGUGUAGCGGUGAAAUGCGUAGAGAUCGGGAGGAAUACCAGUGGCGAAGGCGGCCUUCUGGACUGACACUGACACUGAGGUGCGAAAGCGUGGGUAGCAAACAGGAUUAGAUACCCCGGUAGUC
This 465-nucleotide ribosomal RNA is filed under the name Vreelandella stevensii. RNAcentral describes it as "partial 16S ribosomal RNA". It matches the Rfam family "Bacterial small subunit ribosomal RNA", at positions 338 to 795 of the family's 1533-position model. Lineage: Bacteria; Pseudomonadati; Pseudomonadota; Gammaproteobacteria; Oceanospirillales; Halomonadaceae. The record is from RNAcentral.